Long non-coding RNA from Dicentrarchus labrax (European seabass), 494 nucleotides. RefSeq lists it as uncharacterized. The transcript is spliced from 4 exons. Lineage: Eukaryota; Metazoa; Chordata; Actinopteri; Moronidae. The record is from RefSeq and is a predicted model, not a curated record.
UACAUCCCAUAACCCUCUGCUUCUAAUCCAGAUGAACCAAGUUGGUGGAAGGGACCACUGCAGCUGCUGUGCUGACCACUGGAGCUGUGUUGCCAAGUACAUUAGAGCAUGUCCCACAGGAACUGUGAAGAAAAAAAGUACCAAAUCAGCCAUGACUAGGGCAGCCUCUAAUGCUUGUGGGGCUGCUACACACUCCUGUGCCGUAGGUGGCGACGUGCACCCGGUGUUGUUUGUGAUCCGCCAGUAAAUCCAGAGAAGAAGAAAAGCCAGGUAUUUCCUGCAUGAGAGAAGGUGUGCCAGCGAGUCGUGGGACGUGGACGCCGCCACAGAAGGACUUCAGUCUGUCCAGGCGUCACUUCCAGAGACAGUCCUGGUUUCUGGAUCCCCCCUCCCCUCCACAAUGAAGUCUUCUUUGUGGAGGGGAGGGGCCACCCGGUUGUUGUGAUGUGUGUUGCCAGUGUAAACGCUCAAUAAAAUUAUUUUAAAAUCCAUAA